This is a long non-coding RNA of Oreochromis aureus, 1003 nucleotides long. The record is from Ensembl. NCBI's taxonomy places the organism in Eukaryota, Metazoa, Chordata, Actinopteri, Cichliformes, Cichlidae.
AUAUUGUCAGAGAGCUUGGUGGCUGGUACAGAGAGCACGACAGAGCUUUUGAGCUCAGCCCAGUAUCCACAAGAAUAUUCACUCUCGUUUCACUCUGUGAACUCCUUGAUACUUAUCCAUUGGUUGACUAUAAGAUUGGAUCAGUCCACAUUGUGACUUUAAAAAGGCAUAUAGAAAUAAAAGGUGUUCAGAUAAGUGUAAUAGGUUCAGUCGCAUGUAUUUCAUUAGAUAAAUUCUUCUUUUUUUAUGUCUGAAAUUUAUAACUUUGACUAUUGGGUAUGGAUAGCUGUAUGAAAACUAAACUGAAAUGAUUCUUUCUGAAUCUCUGAUAUGUAAUUCUUUUUUGCCUACAGAGUCCUAAAGACUGUCUUGGCUGACGGAACCUGUCGAAAGCUCACUCUCUAAUGGAGCGCCUAAAUCAACUGAGGAUCUCAUCGUUGAAGUCAAGAGACAGGGUGGUCUUCAGGGCAGUUUCAGACUUCAGUUUAUGGAUUCCUUCAUUUCAUUUUCGUUUCUUAACCUUACCUCGGUUUCAGAAGUAGCAGACAAAGGGACUCUUAAAGCUAUUGACAUGUCAAAGCCCACCACAUGGACAUAAAAAAAGAGUAACAGAGUUGGUGAAACUCAAGAUGGAAAAGACUUUUUCAUACAGAAGACAUGAAGUUGUUCGUGAUGCACCAAUGGUGGAGGCUUUCAUGGCAAGAUGGCCUGCUCUAUUUGAUUUCCAUGAGAUCAACGCUGAGUUUAAGAGAAUUGCCACCAUCCCCCCCUCAAACACAGUUCCCGGCUCAGCUGGAUCUCCACUUGGACAACCUGGUGAAGUUGGUCAAUAGAAGAGGAGAGCUCGGACUAAUACUGAAAAGAAUUGUGGCACAAAUGGAUAAUGUAAGCGAUAAAGCCUCAACACUCACUUAACAUGAUCCUCUUUGGAUGAAACUUUGUUUUGUAUUUUUACAUCUGCUUGUUUUUUAACCUUCAAUUUGUCAACUUAUUAAUUGCCAGU